AAGUACUUGGAGCUUGAAAAACUUGGUCAAGGAGGCUUUGGCUCAGUUUAUGCCGGCCACAGAAGGUCUGAUGAUUUACCAGUGGCGAUAAAACACAUCCCCAACUCGGAUGUGCCCCGUCAAAAAGUGAUGUUAAAUGGGAGGACACGCAGGAUUCCCAAUGAGGUGCUGCUCAUGCACAAAGCCGCAGGCG
Long non-coding RNA from Hippoglossus stenolepis (Pacific halibut), 193 nucleotides. RefSeq lists it as uncharacterized. The record is from RefSeq and is a predicted model, not a curated record. The transcript is spliced from 3 exons. NCBI's taxonomy places the organism in Eukaryota, Metazoa, Chordata, Actinopteri, Pleuronectiformes, Pleuronectidae.